RNAcentral lists this ribosomal RNA (497 nucleotides) under uncultured bacterium. RNAcentral describes it as "partial 16S ribosomal RNA". It matches the Rfam family "Bacterial small subunit ribosomal RNA", at positions 28 to 507 of the family's 1533-position model. The record is from RNAcentral.
GAUGAACGCUGGCGGCGUGCCUAAUACAUGCAAGUCGAGCGAACAGAUGAGGAGCUUGCUCCUCUGACGUUAGCGGCGGACGGGUGAGUAACACGUGGAUAACCUACCUAUAAGACUGGGAUAACUUCGGGAAACCGGAGCUAAUACCGGAUAAUAUAUUGAACCGCAUGGUUCAAUAGUGAAAGACGGCUUUGCUGUCACUUAUAGAUGGAUCCGCGCCGCAUUAGCUAGUUGGUAAGGUAACGGCUUACCAAGGCAACGAUGCGUAGCCGACCUGAGAGGGUGAUCGGCCACACUGGAACUGAGACACGGUCCAGACUCCUACGGGAGGCAGCAGUAGGGAAUCUUCCGCAAUGGGCGAAAGCCUGGCGGAGCAACGCCGCGUGAGUGAUGAAGGUCUUCGGAUCGUAAAACUCUGUUAUUAGGGAAGAACAAAUGUGUAAGUAACUAUGCACGUCUUGACGGUACCUAAUCAGAAAGCCACGGCUAACUACGUG